Molecule: non-coding RNA, 191 nt
Filed under: Polyangiaceae bacterium
Lineage: Bacteria; Pseudomonadati; Myxococcota; Polyangiales; Polyangiaceae
Description: 6S RNA
Rfam family: 6S / SsrS RNA
About the family: E. coli 6S RNA was the first non coding RNA to be sequenced, but its function was unknown until recently. It consists of 184 nucleotides that fold into an extended hairpin structure with a large single-stranded internal bulge.
Source: RNAcentral
UCCCUUCUGCAAGGUUCGCCAGGCGGAUUCAUCAAGAAUCCCGAACAAGCGUGAACAUAGGGGGGCCGUCCCCGACGUGGUGUGCCAGGCCCGGAUCACCUUCACCGGGAGGCCAGAAGCGACGGUUUGGUCCCCCACCUAGCUAUUGCUAGGGGUUCAUCGAUUCCGCCAUCGGCCAUUGCGGUUGGGGC